AUUGAACGCUGGCGGCAGGCCUAACACAUGCAAGUCGAGCGGAUGAAGGGAGCUUGCUCCUGGAUUCAGCGGCGGACGGGUGAGUAAUGCCUAGGAAUCUGCCUGGUAGUGGGGGAUAACGUCCGGAAACGGGCGCUAAUACCGCAUACGUCCUGAGGGAGAAAGUGGGGGAUCUUCGGACUUCACGCUAUCAGAUGAGCCUAGGUCGGAUUAGCUAGUUGGUGGGGUAAAGGCCUACCAAGGCGACGAUCCGUAACUGGUCUGAGAGGAUGAUCAGUCACACUCGAACUGAGACACGGUCCAGACUCCUACGGGGGGCAGCAGUGGGGAAUAUUGGACAAUGGGCGAAAGCCUGAUCCAGCCAUGCCGCGUGUGAGAAGAAGGUCUUCGGAUUGUAAAGCACUUUAAGUUGGGAGGAAGGGCAGUAAGUUAAUACCUUGCUGUUUUGACGUUACCAACAGAAUAAGCACCGGCUAACUUCGUG
Molecule: ribosomal RNA, 484 nt
Filed under: uncultured bacterium
Lineage: Bacteria
Description: partial 16S ribosomal RNA
Rfam family: Bacterial small subunit ribosomal RNA
Source: RNAcentral